RNAcentral lists this ribosomal RNA (54 nucleotides) under uncultured Glomus. Its description in RNAcentral is "partial 18S ribosomal RNA". Lineage: Eukaryota; Fungi; Glomeromycota; Glomeromycetes; Glomerales; Glomeraceae. The record is from RNAcentral.
UUAGAGAGUAAAAGUCGUACAAGGUUCCGUAGGUGAACCUGCGGAAGUUCAUUA